AACGAACGCUGGCGGCAUGCCUAACACAUGCAAGUCGAACGAGACCUUCGGGUCUAGUGGCGCACGGGUGCGUAACGCGUGGGAACCUGCCCUUAGGUUCGGAAUAACUCCCCGAAAGGGGUGCUAAUACCGGAUAAUGUCUUCGGACCAAAGAUUUAUCGCCUUUGGAUGGGCCCGCGUUGGAUUAGCUAGUUGGUAGGGUAAAAGCCUACCAAGGCGACGAUCUAUAGCUGGUCUGAGAGGAUGAUCAGCCACACUGGGACUGAGACACGGCCCAGACUCCUACGGGAGGCAGCAGUGGGGAAUAUUGGACAAUGGGCGAAAGCCUGAUCCAGCAAUGCCGCGUGAGUGAUGAAGGCCUUAGGGUGGUAAAGCUCUUUUACCCGGGAUGAUAAUGACAGUACCGGGAGAAGAAGCUCCGGCUAACUCCAU
Molecule: ribosomal RNA, 432 nt
Filed under: uncultured bacterium
Lineage: Bacteria
Description: partial 16S ribosomal RNA
Rfam family: Bacterial small subunit ribosomal RNA
Source: RNAcentral